GAUGAACGCUAGCGAUAGGCUUAACACAUGCAAGUCGAGGGGCAGCAUGGUCUUAGCUUGCUAAGACUGAUGGCGACCGGCGCACGGGUGCGUAACGCGUAUGCAACUUGCCUCACAGAGGGGGAUAACCCGUCGAAAGACGGACUAAUACCGCGUACACUCUAUUUUGGGCAUCCAGGGUAGAGGAAAUGAAAUUCGCUGUGAGAUAGGCAUGCGUCCCAUUAGCUAGUUGGUGAGGUAACGGCUCACCAAGGCGACGAUGGGUAGGGGAACUGAGAGGUUGAACCCCCACACUGGUACUGAGACACGGACCAGACUCCUACGGGAGGCAGCAGUGAGGAAUAUUGGUCAAUGGGCGAGAGCCUGAACCAGCCAAGUCGCGUGAAGGAUGACUGUCUUAUGGAUUGUAAACUUCUUUUGUAGGGGAAUAAAGAGGGGCACGUGUGCCCCAGUGAAUGUACCCUACGAAUAAGCAUCGGCUAACUCCGUG
RNAcentral lists this ribosomal RNA (490 nucleotides) under uncultured bacterium. RNAcentral describes it as "partial 16S ribosomal RNA". It matches the Rfam family "Bacterial small subunit ribosomal RNA", at positions 28 to 507 of the family's 1533-position model. The record is from RNAcentral.